AUCGCUUCUCGGCCUUUUGGCUAAGAUCAAGUGUAGGAACUAUGAGCUUACAUGUCUGUAUUGACGGGGUUGCAUGACAUACCUCAGUGGGAACAUAUUGUUUAGCUUUCCCUCAGUGCAUGAGUUCCUUCCUGUCUAGAGUUCCUGCAACACAUUCUUCCUUCCUUUCUUCACUGCCAUCUAUAAGAUACAUUUC
Small nuclear RNA from Mus caroli (Ryukyu mouse), 196 nucleotides. RefSeq annotates it as U2 spliceosomal RNA. Lineage: Eukaryota; Metazoa; Chordata; Mammalia; Rodentia; Muridae. The record is from RefSeq and is a predicted model, not a curated record.